This 70-nucleotide transfer RNA is filed under the name Loxodonta africana (African savanna elephant). It matches the Rfam family "tRNA". From Rfam's summary of the family: Transfer RNA (tRNA) molecules are approximately 80 nucleotides in length. The record is from Rfam by way of RNAcentral. Lineage: Eukaryota; Metazoa; Chordata; Mammalia; Proboscidea; Elephantidae.
GCAUGGUGGUUCAGUGGUAGAAUUCUCACCUUCCACGUGGGAGACCCAGGUUUGAUUUCCAGCCAUUGCA